This 4260-nucleotide long non-coding RNA is filed under the name Marmota monax (woodchuck). The record is from RNAcentral. Lineage: Eukaryota; Metazoa; Chordata; Mammalia; Rodentia; Sciuridae.
GGUUAAGUAAAAUCUUAAUUUAAAAAGGAAUACAGUACCAAAAAAGUAAAUUCAGUGAUUACUCUCACCAAUGGUCUACUUCUAACAAUUCCUUGCUCAAAGUCUUAUAUUACCAUAACUUGGAAAACAUUAAUUCUCAUAUAUGAAAUGAUAAAAUUAUAAACUAGCUUUAACACUCAGAAAAUUUAGAAUGGUUUAUUACAAAGAUGGUUGAUAAAAAUUUUAAGGUGGUGUUUGAAAAAGCCCAAACGUGUUAAGAUCACAAAAGGAAAGAGGAAGUCUAAUAAUUUAAAAAUUUAGGGCCAUUAAGUAAAUUGAGAUUUAGAGAGGAUCACAGAUUUUAAACUUCAUUCAACCAUGAGAUUUAAUAUUUCCGUUAUGUUUAGAAACCAAUUUUUUGUUUCAUUUCUUACACCCCAGAGUUUCAAGGAAUUUACUUUCAUACUACUCAAAAGGAAAAGGAAUCAGUUCUUCCCAUGUCACACUGACCUACCCCUGAGGAAGGAAAAGAAGUUUCAAGAGUCACCAGAAUGUUUGUUUCUCCACAAUCUAGUCUGUUAGGGUCAUAUCAGGACUUGUGGAUAUCCAAAGACCUGGUAAUAAUUUUAUUUACAAUUUGAUCAUCAGUGUCCAGAUUAAUAUUCAUAAAUGUUUUAUUAUGAAAAAUAUUCAUUCUACACCUAACUAUGGGCACAGUGUAGGGUUUUUACCUAGUGUAGUAAAACAAGCCCCAUUAAAACACAACUUGUGCUUUAGAUGUGCUACAAGUUAAAUCAUGGCCCACUAAGAAAACUAAUGAAGUCCUGAUAUACCUCACUUAAGCUGUGAGAUAGGUGUUAUUCAUUAUCACCAUCAUAAACCAUAUAAAACUUUUCUCAUUAGUCUUAUAAGGUCUUCAUAGUAAAUACAAUGCUAGGCCCAUAUAUGGGUAAAUGUCGAUACCUGUUGGAAUAACUCAGAAAAAAAAUAAGUGCUGGGGGGAAAAUGGCUGGUAAUAAGUAAGAGAAUCAACACUAUUUUUUGAAGGCUCUUUGUUCAAAGGAGAAGAGACUCACCAAAUACAUUUUAAUUUCAUUUAUUGUAAUUUGAUUCAAGGUUUAUCUUGACCUGGGCACCUGCCACCACCAAAGAAAGAUCUUUCUCUGAACUAGCACUAUCAGUUAAAUGCCUCAACUGAAUUAAUUAGUCCACAAAUGUUGAUACUAACUGGGUGCUAAACAUUGUUCUAGGCUCUUUUUGUGUGUUAAUUCAGUUAACCUUCACAACAAUGUUAUAUUCUCUCCAUUAUACAGACUGAAAAACAGAAUGCAGAAAGAUACAGUAACUUACCUAAUUCACACAAGUUUCUGCAAAGUCAUAGAACCCAUGAAGCCAAUUCUGUGACAUUUUGUAUUUCUAUUCCCCUUAAGCCCAAGAACAACUUGAGGACAGAUGUCACAUCUUUUCGUGAUGAUAUCUCCAAAGGCAUAACAAUGUUCCUCUAUGCUGCAGGUGAAUGUUGUUUGGAUGAAAUCCAGAGAAGCAUAGGUGAUUUUAAGUUGUAAAUGUUUCUUUUUCUUAAUUCUUUUCUCCCAUAGAGAAUUUUGCUCAUCGAACUGCAGUUCAGAAAGCCUUGGCUAAAGAUAAGGAAUGGCAAGAACAAUUCCUCAUUCCAAAUUUGGCUCUCAUUGAUAAGCAAGAGAGUGAGAUUACUUACCUGGUGCCAUGGUGCAAAUUAGAAAAGCCUCCAAAAGAGGGUAAGUCACUUUCCUUCUUCACCACUUAGAAUUUAGAUGAAUGAAAUACUAAAGAUCUUAAGUGAUAAAAGGUGAAGUUCCACUGGCAAACAAGGAAAUUAAUCCUUUGUUUUAUGGGAACAUACUGUGGUUGUUAAGAUAAAACGAAGUUGAAUCUUCCAGCUUAUGCUUAAAAUGAGAAUUAAAUAAUGAGGAAUUUUUCCAAAUUGAAAUUUUACACAUUGCUAAGUUUAGCUGUUACAGAAAAAGUCUACAUAGUCAGUUAAAGAUGAGAAAUUGCACAUUAGAAAUAGGGACCACAUGUGGGAAAAUAAAGAAUAAUUUUAAGGUAACAUAAAUAUUUAAAUAAGAAUAUUUUCCACAAAAUAUAAUUAAUCUUAAGUCAUUAGUACACCUUUGCUUAUAAAAUUAACUAUUUGAGGGGGGUGAAUUUACUGAAUCUACCAAGCUAUAUCACUAUAGUUUUUGUGUCUAACUUUUGUGUCUUCCUCUUUCUUCUCAGUUUGAAAAUAAUUCCUUAAGAUAUAUCUUCUUGCUGAUUUCACUUCUUGAUGAUUUAAAGAAACUAUUGCUUCAAUCCAGUAUUAAACCAAGGUCAGAAUAGAAAAAUCAAUUUAGAUUUAUUUUAUUUCCAACUCUGUUUUUAGACUACACUACAAAGAAACUUGACAAGAAUUAUUUAGAUCCUAGUUAGAUCUCUUUCUCUGUCAGCACUAUCUAGAUAAAAUAGUUGACUUCUCAGUGUCUAACGUUGAUCCUCUUCCUCUUUUUUAUUAACCUGAGUAAUCUUUGCAUGUUUUCCUGUACCUUUCAAAUCUACUUGUCUCUAGUUUCUUUCUACCAGUCCUUUAUUUCUGUCCAGAAGAUAAGAUACAUUUCAACUACAUACUUGGAUAUUUAGGGACAAUAAAAUCUCAUUAGGUUUGUUUGGGUUUUUUUCCUCCAAAACUUAGAGACAUUUCUUUAUUUUCAUUGUUUUCUAUGUUCUUCCUGUUAGAAAAAGAAACUUAAGGAGAGAGAAAUAUAAAUGGAAAAAAGUACAAAUUGGAAAGAAGAAUGAAAAUAUAGGAGACAUUGGAAAAUUAUUUUAUUCUUUUCUGAAAGUAUAGACUUGGCUCAAAAAUCCAAUUUCAUUAUAAAUUCUUAAUAUCUGUUUUAUUAAUAGAUUUUUAUAUUAAAAUAUUUCAGAUCAUAGUUUAUAUAUUUAUAACUCCAGACUUUUUAUCAUCUGCAUGAUAACCAAAGCAAAGAAAAAUAAUGCAAAUACAAUAAAUAUGUCUAUGUAACCAUAUAUGAUCCUCUAAAUCUGUAUUUGUAGAUUAGUUUUCCAUGGAAACAAGACAGACAUGAUUAGAAAAUGCUGGAAUGUCUUCUGUAAAAUAGUCCUUUUUCUUUCUAUUUUAGGAGUCUAUGAAUUGGCUUCUUUUCAGAUGAAACCUGGUGGCCCAGCUCUGUGGGGUGAUGCAUUUAAAAGGGCAGUUCAUGCCCAUGUAAAUCUAGGCUAUACAAAAUUAGUUGGUGUUUUCCAUGCAGAAUAUGGAGCACUCAACACAGGUAUAGUUAUCUGUUUCAUCUAUAAAAUUUCAGUGGUGAUCUACUAAUAAGUUCCUUGGAUACGUUUCUCUCUCUCAUACUGUACAUUUUAUUUUUUAUUGCCAAAUUUUUGUAUUUUUGUCAAUUUUAAGGGUUGAAAAAAACCUGUGUCACAUCUUUUUAUUUAGAAUGUUAACAUCUUUAUGAAGCCUUUUCAAACACAAAACUGCUAUUUUCCUGAUUAUCAAAAUGAUUAAAUUUUAAUAGGUGCCAGAAUCUCAAGAAAUAACCUAUUCCUUUUAAAUAUUUUUUCUUCUGAAUUUUUUUAUUGAUUUUUGAAACAACAUUUCUGGGGAGAUUGUUUCUGAGUAAAAACAUAAUUUAUUUAUUCAUUCAUGUAUUAAUUAAUUUAUUUAUACUAAAGUCGCCCCAUAAAAAUUCACCCAUUUUUAUUUGAGGCAUGUAUUUAUAUACAUGUAUGUACAUAUCCAUUGGUAAAUUUGUAAAUAUAAAUUUCUUUAAUAAAAUACGUAUUUGGAGUAUUUAACUUUUAAAUGUAUUUUUUUGUGUGCAUAGCCCUGGUGAUUGAACUCAGGACGAUGCACAUGCUAGGCAAUGCUCUACCACUGGACUAUAUCCCCAGCCCAGAGUAUUUUAACUUUUAAAUUUGAAAGAUAUUACCAUCAGAAUUUCAAGAUUUUUUUUGACAAAUUCUGAAAAUACUUGUAAAGCUUAUCUGAAAGGACAGAUGACAAAGAAUAGCUAGUAAAUAUUUGAAAGACUGAUAAUACGCAGUUACCUUUUAUCUUCUCUAUUUUAUGUACAAUGGAAAUCUGAAACCUAAUAUAGUCAGUGCUGAGCUUCCAACUCAACACAGAAAAUUCAUCUCUUUUCUGAAAUGCAUGGACCAGAAGUAUGUCAGAUUUUUGAUUUUUGGAUUAGGGAUAUUCAGCCUGUUUAUCAUAAGAAAAUGGUCAUAAUAUACAAAAAC